GCUUAACACAUGCAAGUCGAACGGUAGCAGGUCCUUCGGGAUGCUGACGAGUGGCGGACGGGUGCGUAACGCGUGGGAAUCUGCCCAAUAGUGGGGGAUAACCCGGGGAAACUCGGGCUAAUACCGCAUACUCCCUACGGGGGAAAGCGGGGGACCGUAAGGCCUCGCGCUAUUGGAUGAGCCCGCGUCCGAUUAGCUUGUUGGUGGGGUAAAGGCCUACCAAGGCGACGAUCGGUAGCUGGUCUGAGAGGACGACCAGCCAUACUGGGACUGAGACACGGCCCAGACUCCUACGGGAGGCAGCAGUGGGGAAUAUUGGACAAUGGGGGCAACCCUGAUCCAGCAAUACCGCGUGUGUGAAGAAGGCCUUCGGGUUGUAAAGCACUUUUAGCAGGAAAGAAAGCCUGUACGCUAAUACCGUACGGUUUUGACGUUACCUGCAGAAAAAGCACCGGCUAACUCCGUGCCAGCAGCCGCGGUAAUAC
RNAcentral lists this ribosomal RNA (485 nucleotides) under uncultured Gammaproteobacteria bacterium. RNAcentral describes it as "bacterial SSU rRNA". It matches the Rfam family "Bacterial small subunit ribosomal RNA", at positions 46 to 526 of the family's 1533-position model. Lineage: Bacteria; Pseudomonadati; Pseudomonadota; Gammaproteobacteria. The record is from RNAcentral.